This is a long non-coding RNA of Paramormyrops kingsleyae, 1293 nucleotides long. RefSeq lists it as uncharacterized. The record is from RefSeq and is a predicted model, not a curated record. NCBI's taxonomy places the organism in Eukaryota, Metazoa, Chordata, Actinopteri, Osteoglossiformes, Mormyridae.
GCCUGCUCCUCUUCAAUGUUUAAGUAAAGGUUGCCGGUUGAUGCUGACACCUUGUGGCGAAGGUAGGGAAUGUACGUGUAAGGAACCCAAGAAGGUGACGGAAAACACCUCGGCUGGUUUUACAUCAGAGAAGAGCUUGAUGUGCAGCAUGAAGAUAUUUCAUGAGCAGAUGACCUGAGAGAGGCAGAAAACAUGAACAGGAGAUGCUGCCCUUGGGGAUUUGUUAACAAGUUCAGCUCUGGGAUUACCUCCGUGCUCCAUGUUGUCAAUGCCCGUCAGCCAUUACGGCCCACUGCCUGUCGCUGAGGAUUCUGGGAUGUGUUUUGGUAUGUGGGUGAAGUCGCCACAUGAGAACUGUGCAUCGUCUUGCCGUUCACACAAUGUAGAUUUAAGCACUUGUGACUUGUCAAACUUCUGUUUCAAAAGUUAAAACUUGUAAAUCAUGUGUCAUUAAGGGGAAAACAGCAAUUUAGGUGUUAGUGCUUCAUCAAUCAGAGAGAAACUCGAUGUCCUCGGUGGAGUCGCCCCACUGUGAUGCAGGUGGGGUGUCUCCUGGCUGUAGUUUGUAGUGAGUUUGCUGCCAUUGCAGUAUUAACCACCUGCUUCUCGCAAUCUCACAGUGGAUGUGUAUUUAUAUACCCGUUUACCGGGCCCCUCUCCCUGCCACCUUGUGGAACCCCAACGCCCACGGAGGGAGAGGGCCCCCCCCAACGCCGACAGCGGGAGAGAGGGCCCCCCAACACCCACGGUGGGAAAGGGCCCCCGGUGGUGCCACUGAACGCCGAUCACGCCACCAUGCUAAAUAGUGCGCCAAAAAUAACCUGUCCAGCUGAAGCAGACCCAGCCGGGUGGCUCUUCCAGCCACGGUGAGGCCCCUGGGGGACAGGAUGGGGCUGUAAACCCCCCCCUGCAUUCACAGGGGACCGAGCUGUCUGCCAGGGUGGGUAAGGUGUCACAAGACAUCGAUGCUCCAAAGACAUAAUGUGGAAACUAUGAGGGAGGAAUUUUAUUCAUGUGGAAGCCGAACCGGCUGCAAUGUGGGGGGGGGGGUUCAGGUAUCCGUAAUGGACUCUGUUCGCAGUACAGCCAGUGUGUUCGCUUGUAGCCCUGUAGAGCUGCAUACCUGUUACAUUUCUGUCUGGGCUCCUCGUAAAAUCUGCUCACAUUUGACAGCUUAAGGAGCAGUCAGUCAGUCGGCUGUGCCACGCUGUCCUGGGGGGUCCUGAGGACGGGGAAACGGGAGAUGCACAUAGCUUUAUGCUUUCUGGGGCUUGAGCUCAAAUUAGCCCGACG